CCCGCCGGCGACCGGCGCACGGGUGAGUAACACGUAUGCAACCUGGCCGCCACAGGGGGAUAACCCGCGGAAACGCGGCCUAAUACCCCGUGACGCCACCGGAGGGCAUCCUCCGGUGGCCAAAGGAGCGAUCCGGUGGCGGAUGGGCAUGCGGCGCAUUAGCUAGACGGCGGGGUGACGGCCCACCGUGGCAACGAUGCGUAGGGGUUCUGAGAGGAAGGCCCCCCACACUGGGACUGAGACACGGCCCAGACUCCUACGGAAGGCAGCAG
This 272-nucleotide ribosomal RNA is filed under the name uncultured bacterium. RNAcentral's name for it is "partial 16S ribosomal RNA". It matches the Rfam family "Bacterial small subunit ribosomal RNA", at positions 84 to 354 of the family's 1533-position model. The record is from RNAcentral.